This 367-nucleotide ribosomal RNA is filed under the name uncultured organism. Its description in RNAcentral is "bacterial SSU rRNA". It matches the Rfam family "Bacterial small subunit ribosomal RNA", at positions 526 to 896 of the family's 1533-position model. The record is from RNAcentral.
CGGAGGAUCCAAGCGUUAUCCGGAAUCAUUGGGUUUAAAGGGUCCGUAGGCGGGUUUAUAAGUCAGUGGUGAAAGCCCAUCGCUCAACGAUGGAACGGCCAUUGAUACUGUAGAUCUUGAAUUAUUAGGAAGUAACUAGAAUAGUGUAGUGUAGCGGUGAAAUGCUUAGAGAUUACAUGGAAUACCAAUUGCGAAGGCAGGUUACUACUAAUGGAUUGACGCUGAUGGACGAAAGCGUGGGUAGCGAACAGGAUUAGAUACCCUGGUAGUCCACGCCGUAAACGAUGGAUACUAGCUGUUCGGAGCAAUCUGAGUGGCUAAGCGAAAGUGAUAAGUAUCCCACCUGGGGAGUACGUUCGCAAGAAUG